Molecule: long non-coding RNA, 202 nt
Organism: Carya illinoinensis
Lineage: Eukaryota; Viridiplantae; Streptophyta; Magnoliopsida; Fagales; Juglandaceae
Exons: 2
Source: RefSeq, a predicted model, not a curated record
ACGAACGAAGAAGCUCUUGCGAAUGUGCCAGAGUUGGUGACACCAGCUACUUGGGUGAAGUUAUGCGCUCGAUGGUCAAGCGCGGAAUUUAGGAUGAUAUCUGAGAAAAAUAAAAGUAAUAGAGUGAAGCAACAAACAAACCACACGGCUGGACGAACCUCCUUCGUAAGACUAAUGCAAAUGAGGGUACGAAUUUUAUUCA